Long non-coding RNA from Diachasma alloeum, 679 nucleotides. RefSeq lists it as uncharacterized. Lineage: Eukaryota; Metazoa; Arthropoda; Insecta; Hymenoptera; Braconidae. The transcript is spliced from 2 exons. The record is from RefSeq and is a predicted model, not a curated record.
CGUUCCUGGAAGAAUUUUGGAAGUUCAACGAGUCCUUCGCGGUUAGUUGAGUCGAAAGCUCGGGCGUCAAGUGGCCAUCAACUCCCGCAAGCCCGAAAGUUCAAUAGUGCCUAUCGAUAAUUUGAUUCAGAAUAAUUCGCACAAAUGAUUGCGAAGGCAGCGCACGAGACCCAGAAUCUCCUCACGACUUAUCUGAUCCUGUUGGUCCUGUUGAUAUGCCUGUGGGCGCUCUAUUCAGGGAUUUAUUAAUCUGAGGGAGAGGAAUGACGGUGGACUAAUGACAAUGAAGAAUUUUUCAUGACGAUGGGGUAUAAUGCAAGGCAACAACGACCUCCGUGUGCCGCUGCAAUUAUUCGUAUGUCCAUGGCGACUCCACGAGGACCAAUGCAACAUCCAGACACUAGUAUUUGCAUAAAAAAACUCCGGAAUUGUCGGAAAUGAAUGGUUUUAUCUGUUGUUAUUUUUAUUUCCUCACACCCCGAGUCAAUGUGGGCUUGGAUCACUUGUGCGCGUGUUUACGGAUUUAGGUUGUUCUAUGGAGUCAAGGGAAAACGCUUACGCAAUUUUUAAUGUUACGUGUUGAAUAUUGAAGAUGAAAGAAAUGUUGAUGUUGUGAUGACGUUUGGCGGAGGUUUGUUAUGAGUUUAUCAAUGAGUAAACUGGAAUGAGUCUCUAUUUA